GACGAACGCUGGCGGUGUGCUUAACACAUGCAAGUCGAACGAAGUGGCGAACGGGUGAGUAACGCGUAAUCAACCUGCCCUUCAGAGGGGGACAACAGUUGGAAACGACUGCUAAUACCGCAUAAUGAAGGAGGGGAUUGCGCCUGAUUAGCUAGUGGGAGGGGUAACGGCCCACCAAGGCGAUGAUCAGUAGCCGGUCUGAGAGGAUGAACGGCGACAUUGGGCCUGAGACGCGGCCCAGACUCCUACGGGAGGCAGCAGGGGGGAAUCGUCCGCAAUGGACGCAAGUCUGACGGAGCAACGCCGCGUGAGUGAUGACGUCCUUCGGGUUGUAAAGCUCUGUUAAUCGGGACGCGGUACCGGAAUAGAAAGCCAGGGCUAACUACGUGCCAGCAGCCGCGGUAAUAC
RNAcentral lists this ribosomal RNA (408 nucleotides) under uncultured bacterium. Its description in RNAcentral is "partial 16S ribosomal RNA". It matches the Rfam family "Bacterial small subunit ribosomal RNA", at positions 28 to 526 of the family's 1533-position model. The record is from RNAcentral.